UACGGGGGGGAGCAAGCGUUGUUCGGAUUUACUGGGCGUAAAGGGCGCGUAGGCGGCGUGUUAAGUCACUUGUGAAAUCUCUAAGCUUAACUUAGAACGGUCAAGUGAUACUGAUGUGCUAGAGUGCAGAAGGGGCAACCGGAAUUCUUGGUGUAGCGGUGAAAUGCGUAGAUAUCAAGAGGAACACCUGAGGUGAAGACGGGUUGCUGGGCUGACACUGACGCUGAGGCGCGAAAGCUAGGGUAGCAAACGGG
This 254-nucleotide ribosomal RNA is filed under the name uncultured bacterium. RNAcentral describes it as "partial 16S ribosomal RNA". It matches the Rfam family "Bacterial small subunit ribosomal RNA", at positions 524 to 776 of the family's 1533-position model. The record is from RNAcentral.